CUGAUACAUGUAGAAACUGUCAAACUGCUACUCUUUCCCUUUUUGUUUUCUUGAAUUUGUGACUUCUGCUAAAAUUAAGAGAUUGGGACAGCAUAAAUCUGUUUAUUUAACUGUCUCACCCUCAGAAAAAAUAGUAUGCUUGUAUCUUUAUUUCAGGCUUUCCAUUAAGGAUGUGCACUGCUGUGGACAGGACUUCAGUAACUAGGGAAAGUUGACACUUCAGAAAAAAUGUUUAGCUGCCCAGGCAAAGACAAACAAGAAUAGUGCAACUUCUCUGUGUUUUUCAGCUGAAAUAGCACUGUAGCCUCUUGCCACACCAAAAGCAAGACCCCGUGGACAAAUCAUCAUCAUUUCACAACACGGAAAGAGGAGGAGGAGGAGGAGGAAGAGAGAGAAAGAGAGAACUAAACCCCCUGAAGGAUGGUUCUCAAAAAAUUCUGGCGGAACCACGGGGGACUCCUCGGCGAGCGGGAACCGGCCGCGGAGAUGGCCGAGCCCGGAGGUGUUUGAUGAGCAGAUUGGGUCUUUAUCUCGGCGCUGGAGAGCAGGCAGGCUCGUGGGGAGACGCUGGAGCUUUACAGGAUUUCUGGUGUUUGUUUGUUUUCUUUUGCUGAAAUCUGGCUGCCUUCUUACUGCUCUGUAAAGAAUUUUGUAUCGGCUGAGUAUGUUUCUGCUGUAUAUAUGGUUUUUCAUAUCAUCAUAUUAAACAUAUUGAGAGUUAAGGAGAAACUAUUUUAAAAUAAUCCCCUCUUUCAUUUGGUAUGUUUACCAGCAGCACUCCCUAUAAAAAUACAUAUUCAUGCCAGAUUCUUCUGUUAUCCUUCCCAGGUCAGACCGAACAUUAGAAGCGCAAACAAUUUUUCUUUUGCUAUCCCCAUGCCCAUUCCUAGGGAUUUGUUUAGUUGCUGUUGGUGAGGUGACCAUUCUCGAACUAUUUCCCUCUGUGAUUUAAUUAAACAUGGCCAAA
RNAcentral lists this long non-coding RNA (967 nucleotides) under Falco tinnunculus (common kestrel). Its description in RNAcentral is "lncRNA (ENSFTIG00000005478.1)". The record is from RNAcentral. Lineage: Eukaryota; Metazoa; Chordata; Aves; Falconiformes; Falconidae.